Molecule: transfer RNA, 93 nt
Filed under: Streptomyces toxytricini
Lineage: Bacteria; Bacillati; Actinomycetota; Actinomycetes; Kitasatosporales; Streptomycetaceae
Description: tRNA-Cys
Source: RNAcentral
CCGGGCUGGCCGGCUCGGUCGGGCAGGGCGCCUACAGCGCGGCCAAGGCCGGCAUCCUCGGGCUGACGCUGGUCGCGGCGGCCGAGCUGGGCC